GAUGAACGCUGGCGGCGUGCUUAACACAUGCAAGUCGAACGAAGCACUUUAUUUGAUUUCCUUCGGGACUGAUUAUUUUGUGACUGAGUGGCGGACGGGUGAGUAACGCGUGGGUAACCUGCCUUGUACAGGGGGAUAACAGUUGGAAACGGCUGCUAAUACCGCAUAAGCGCACAGCAUCGCAUGAUGCAGUGUGAAAAACUCCGGUGGUAUAAGAUGGACCCGCGUUGGAUUAGCUAGUUGGUGAGGUAACGGCCCACCAAGGCGACGAUCCAUAGCCGACGUGAUAGGGUGACCGGCCACAUUGGGACUGAGACACGGCCCAAACUCCUACGGGAGGCAGCAGUGGGGAAUAUUGCACAAUGGGCGAAAGCCUGAUGCAGCGACGCCGCGUGAGCGAAGAAGUAUUUCGGUAUGUAAAGCUCUAUCAGCAGGGAAGAUAAUGACGUUACCUGACGAAGAAGCACCGGCUAAAUACGUG
Molecule: ribosomal RNA, 481 nt
Filed under: uncultured bacterium
Lineage: Bacteria
Description: partial 16S ribosomal RNA
Rfam family: Bacterial small subunit ribosomal RNA
Source: RNAcentral